GGGAGGACCUGCCACUCCCUAAAGGAACACCCUGAGUCUACUCACACCUGUGUCUUCCAGUCUUUACCAGUGCUCAAUAGAGGACCUGCGUCUCUGGAAGGACCAUCAUGAUUCUGCCCACACCUCACUCUUCAUGGUCUUUCAGUCCUUUCCCAGUGCUUAAGAGAAGACCUGCCCCUUCUGGAAGGAUCACCAUGACUCUGCCCACUCCUGUGGUUUCCAGUCGUUUCCUGGUGCUUAAUGUGAGUCGGGGCUCUGCUCUGAGCCUCAGCUCCCUACAUCUCGGACUCCAUCUCCUGGGAGUUUUCUCCUCCGAGAGAAGACCUACACCUCAUGGAAUGAUCACCCUGAGUAAGCCCACACCUGUGUCUUCUGGUCCUUUCCUGGUGCUUAAGGUGAGGGGUGGCCAUGCUCUGAGCCCCAACUCCCUACAUCCCCUGCUCAGUCUCCCUGGGUGUUUUCUACAACUAGAGAACACCUGCACUUCCCAGAAGGAUCACUCAGUUUCUGUUCACACCUGAAUCUUCUGGUACUUUCCCAGUGCUUAAGGCUAGUGGGGGCCCUGCUCUGAUCCCCAAUGGCCUACACCCCAAACUCCAUUACCUGGGCAUUUUCUGUGCCUAGAGAAGACCUGCCCCUUCUGGAAGGACCACCCUGAAUGCUGCCACACCUCAGUCUUCAGUAUCUUCCGUUCCUUUAAGUGCUUAAGUUGAUUGGGGGCCCUGCAUGAAUCCCAACUCCCUUAUCCCUGGCUCCAUCUCCCUGGGUGUUUUUUGAGCCUAGAUAAGACCUAUGCCUCCAGGUAUGAGCACCCUGAGUCUGCCCACAGUUGUGUCUUCCAGUCCUUUCACAGUGCUUAAGGUGAGUGGGGCCCUGCUAUGAGCACCAACUCCCUACAUCUCCAGCUCCUACUCCCUGGGCGUUUUCUGCGCCUAUAGAAUACCUGUCCACCCCUGGAAGGACCAACUUGAGUCUGCCCACAACUCAGUCUUCAGUGUCUUUUGGUCCUUUCCCGGUGCAUAAGGUGAGUGGGGGCCUUGCUCUGUGCCCAAACUUCCUACAUCCCUGAACCCUAUACCAGGGCAUUUGCUGCGCCAAGAGAAGAACUAUGCUUCCUGGAAGGGUCACCCUGAGUUCGCCCACACCUGUCUUCUGGUCCUUUUCUGGUGCUUAAGGUGAGUGGGGGCCCUGUUCUGAGCCCCAACUCCCUACAUCCUUGGCUCCAUCUCCCUGGGCAUUUUCUGUGCCUAGAGAAGACAAAGGCCUCCAGGAAGGAUCAGCCUGUGUCUGCCCACACCUGUGCCUUCUAAUCCUUUCCUGUUGCUUAAGGUUAGUGUGGGCGCUGCUCUGAGCAGCAACUCCCUACAGCCCUGGCUCUGUCUCCCUGGGUGUUUUCUCUGCCUAGAGAAGACCUGCACCUUCCAGAAGGAACACCCUGAGUCUGCCCACGCCUGUGUCUUCUGGUGCUUUCCUGGUGCUUAAGGUGAGUGGAGGCCCUGCUCUAAGCCUAAUCUCCCUACAUUCCCAGCUCCCUCUCCCUGGGCAUUUUCUGCACCUAAAGAAGACCUGCCGCUCCCAGAAAGACCAUCCUGAAUCUGCCCAUACCUCAGUUUUCAGUGUCUUCCAGUCCUUUCCUGGUGCUUCAGGUGAGUGGGGGCCCUGCUCUGAGCCUCAACUCCCUACAUCCCUGACUCAUUCUCCCUGGGCAUUUGCUGCACCUAGAGAAGAUCUAUGCCUCCUGGAAGAAUCACCCUGAGUCUGCCCCCACCUGUGUCUUCUAAUCUUUUCCUGCUACUUAAUGUGAGUGGGGGCCCUGCUCUGAGCCUCAACUCCCUACAACCCUGACUCUGUCUCUAUGGGUGUUUACUGCACCUGGAGAUGACCUGGACCUCCUCGUAGUACAACCGUGAGUCUGUGCACACCUCAGUCUUCAUUGUCUUCCAAUCCUUUUCAGGUGCUUAAGUCCCCUCUGAUAUCUGUCUUGUACCUUUAGCCACUGAAGUAUUUUACCUGCUUGAACGAACUGGGAGGGAUCCUUAUAUCCAAACCCACCAGGUGUGGAAGAGACCCCAUAGGCUUCCACUGAAAGAAAGGAUGGGGAAAAGGCAAUAGAAAAACACAGCCAACAACAGUACAACCAGUAUGAUACCACCAACUUCUAGCAAGUCUACAAAAGCAAGACCUGAACAUAUCAACACAGAUGAAACAGAAAAGAAUGACCUUCAAAACAACCUCCUG
Mesocricetus auratus (golden hamster) is the source of this 2238-nucleotide long non-coding RNA. RefSeq lists it as uncharacterized. Lineage: Eukaryota; Metazoa; Chordata; Mammalia; Rodentia; Cricetidae. The transcript has 3 exons. The record is from RefSeq and is a predicted model, not a curated record.